RNAcentral lists this ribosomal RNA (274 nucleotides) under uncultured bacterium. RNAcentral describes it as "partial 16S ribosomal RNA". It matches the Rfam family "Bacterial small subunit ribosomal RNA", at positions 523 to 796 of the family's 1533-position model. The record is from RNAcentral.
AUACGGAGGGGGCUAGCGUUGUUCGGAUUUACUGGGCGUAAAGCGCGCGUAGGCGGUAUAUCAAGUUAGGCGUGAAAGCCCCGGGCUCAACCCGGGAACUGCGCUUAUUACUGAUAAACUAGAGUCCGGGAGAGGGUGGCGGAAUUCCCAGUGUAGAGGUGAAAUUCGUAGAUAUUGGGAAGAACACCAGUUGCGAAGGCGGCCACCUGGACCGGUACUGACGCUGAGGUGCGAAAGCUAGGGGAGCAAACAGGAUUAGAUACCCCAGUAGUCC